RNAcentral lists this ribosomal RNA (479 nucleotides) under uncultured bacterium. RNAcentral describes it as "partial 16S ribosomal RNA". It matches the Rfam family "Bacterial small subunit ribosomal RNA", at positions 28 to 523 of the family's 1533-position model. The record is from RNAcentral.
GACGAACGCUGGCGGCGUGCUUAACACAUGCAAGUCGAGCGAUGAAGCACCUUCGGGUGUGAAUUAGCGGCGAACGGGUGAGGAACACGUGAAGAAUCUGCCUUCAACUCUGGGAUAACUCCGGGAAACCGGGGCUAAUACCGGAUAUGAGCCUUGAUCGCAUGAACGGGGCUGGAAAGUUUUUCGGUUGAAGAUGACUUCGCGGCCUAUCAGCUUGUUGGUGAGGUAAUGGCUCACCAAGGCGACGACGGGUAGCCGGCCUGAGAGGGCGACCGGCCACACUGGGACUGAGACACGGCCCAGACUCCUACAGGAGGCAGCAGUGGGGAAUAUUGGGCAAUGGAGGAAACUCUGACCCAGCGACGCCGCGUGAGGGAUGAAGGCCUUCGGGUUGUAAACCUCUUCCAGUAGGGAAGAAGCGAAAGUGACGGUACCUACAGAAGAAGCACCGGCUAACUAUGUGCCAGCCGCCGCCGUAA